This 910-nucleotide ribosomal RNA is filed under the name Quadricrura septentrionalis. RNAcentral describes it as "LSU rRNA". It matches the Rfam family "Eukaryotic large subunit ribosomal RNA", at positions 37 to 965 of the family's 3401-position model. The record is from RNAcentral. Lineage: Eukaryota; Fungi; Ascomycota; Dothideomycetes; Pleosporales; Tetraplosphaeriaceae.
AGCAUAUCAAUAAGCGGAGGAAAAGAAACCAACAGGGAUUGCCCUAGUAACGGCGAGUGAAGCGGCAACAGCUCAAAUUUGAAAUCUGGCUCCUUUGGGGUCCGAGUUGUAAUUUGUAGAGGGUGCUUUGGCGUUGGCUCCGGCCUAAGUUCCUUGGAACAGGACGUCACAGAGGGUGAGAAUCCCGUACGUGGCCGACCGUCUUCGCCGUGUAAAGCCCCUUCGACGAGUCGAGUUGUUUGGGAAUGCAGCUCUAAAUGGGAGGUAAAUUUCUUCUAAAGCUAAAUAUUGGCCAGAGACCGAUAGCGCACAAGUAGAGUGAUCGAAAGAUGAAAAGCACUUUGGAAAGAGAGUCAAAAAGCACGUGAAAUUGUUGAAAGGGAAGCGCUUGCAGCCAGACUUGCCUGUAGUUGCUCAUCCGGGCUCCUGCCCGGUGCACUCUUCUAUUGGCAGGCCAGCAUCAGUUUGGGCGGUCGGAUAAAGGCCUCGGGAACGUAGCUCUCUUCGGGGAGUGUUAUAGCCCGGGGUGUCAUGCGACCAGCCUGGACUGAGGUCCGCGCAUCUGCUAGGAUGCUGGCGUAAUGGCUGUAAGCGGCCCGUCUUGAAACACGGACCAAGGAGUCUAACAUCUAUGCGAGUGUUUGGGUGUCAAGCCCGGGCGCGUAAUGAAAGUGAACGGAGGUGGGAACCCCCCGGGGUGCACCAUCGACCGAUCCUGAUGUCUUCGGAUGGAUUUGAGUAAGAGCAUAGCUGUUGGGACCCGAAAGAUGGUGAACUAUGCCUGAAUAGGGUGAAGCCAGAGGAAACUCUGGUGGAGGCUCGCAGCGGUUCUGACGUGCAAAUCGAUCGUCAAAUUUGGGCAUAGGGGCGAAAGACUAAUCGAACUAUCUAGUAGCUGGUUCCUGCCGAA